This 1389-nucleotide ribosomal RNA is filed under the name Mycobacterium farcinogenes. Its description in RNAcentral is "bacterial SSU rRNA". It matches the Rfam family "Bacterial small subunit ribosomal RNA". Lineage: Bacteria; Bacillati; Actinomycetota; Actinomycetes; Mycobacteriales; Mycobacteriaceae. The record is from RNAcentral.
UGCAAGUCGAACGGAAAGGCCCUUCGGGGUACUCGAGUGGCGAACGGGUGAGUAACACGUGGGUGAUCUGCCCUGCACUUUGGGAUAAGCCUGGGAAACUGGGUCUAAUACCGGAUAGGACCACGCGCUUCAUGGUGUGUGGUGGAAAGCUUUUGCGGUGUGGGAUGGGCCCGCGGCCUAUCAGCUUGUUGGUGGGGUAAUGGCCUACCAAGGCGACGACGGGUAGCCGGCCUGAGAGGGUGACCGGCCACACUGGGACUGAGAUACGGCCCAGACUCCUACGGGAGGCAGCAGUGGGGAAUAUUGCACAAUGGGCGCAAGCCUGAUGCAGCGACGCCGCGUGAGGGAUGACGGCCUUCGGGUUGUAAACCUCUUUCAAUAGGGACGAAGCGCAAGUGACGGUACCUAUAGAAGAAGGACCGGCCAACUACGUGCCAGCAGCCGCGGUAAUACGUAGGGUCCGAGCGUUGUCCGGAAUUACUGGGCGUAAAGAGCUCGUAGGUGGUUUGUCGCGUUGUUCGUGAAAACUCACAGCUUAACUGUGGGCGUGCGGGCGAUACGGGCAGACUAGAGUACUGCAGGGGAGACUGGAAUUCCUGGUGUAGCGGUGGAAUGCGCAGAUAUCAGGAGGAACACCGGUGGCGAAGGCGGGUCUCUGGGCAGUAACUGACGCUGAGGAGCGAAAGCGUGGGGAGCGAACAGGAUUAGAUACCCUGGUAGUCCACGCCGUAAACGGUGGGUACUAGGUGUGGGUUUCCUUCCUUGGGAUCCGUGCCGUAGCUAACGCAUUAAGUACCCCGCCUGGGGAGUACGGCCGCAAGGCUAAAACUCAAAGGAAUUGACGGGGGCCCGCACAAGCGGCGGAGCAUGUGGAUUAAUUCGAUGCAACGCGAAGAACCUUACCUGGGUUUGACAUGCACAGGACGCCAGUAGAGAUAUUGGUUCCCUUGUGGCCUGUGUGCAGGUGGUGCAUGGCUGUCGUCAGCUCGUGUCGUGAGAUGUUGGGUUAAGUCCCGCAACGAGCGCAACCCUUGUCUCAUGUUGCCAGCACGUUAUGGUGGGGACUCGUGAGAGACUGCCGGGGUCAACUCGGAGGAAGGUGGGGAUGACGUCAAGUCAUCAUGCCCCUUAUGUCCAGGGCUUCACACAUGCUACAAUGGCCGGUACAAAGGGCUGCGAUGCCGUGAGGUGGAGCGAAUCCUUUCAAAGCCGGUCUCAGUUCGGAUCGGGGUCUGCAACUCGACCCCGUGAAGUCGGAGUCGCUAGUAAUCGCAGAUCAGCAACGCUGCGGUGAAUACGUUCCCGGGCCUUGUACACACCGCCCGUCACGUCAUGAAAGUCGGUAACACCCGAAGCCGGUGGCCUAACCCUUGUGGAGGGAGCCGUCGA